GGCCGGCGAGAAACACCAAGAGUGGAAGGGAAGUACAUGGGCCGGGCUGAAUCUCGGGAUAAGCCACAUAUCCCAUCCGUAGAUCCACCAUUUUGCAUGGACAUAUCAUCAUAUAUCAUCGUAUUAUUAUUCACAAUAUAACAUAAUCGAGUUAAUGUUCGAAAGAAAAAAGAUAAUCGAGUCUAAGAAAUGAUGCAGAGGCAAGCACAACGCCUGCCGGAUUAGUUAGCGGCGUUCACGAGCUCAGCAUAUAUAGGGCCUUGUUUAGUUCUUUUUUUUUUUUGCAAAACAGCUAUUGUAGCACUUUUAUUUAUAUUUAACAAAUAUUAUCUAAUCAUGGACUAACUAGAUUCAAAAGAUUUGUCUCGUCAAUUACAAGCAAAUUGUGUAAUUAGUUAUUUUUUAUCUAUAUUUAAUGUUUCAUGCAUAUGCCGUGAUGGAGAAUUAAAAAAAUUUACAAAACUUUUUUGGGAACUAAGGCCUUGUUUAGUUCACCUAAAAAACCAAAAACUUUUCAAGAUUCCCCAUCACAUCGAAUCUUGCGGCAUAUAUAUGGAGCAUUAAAUAUAGACAAAAAAACUAAUUAUACAAUUUAAAUGUAAAUCGUGAGAUGAAUCUUUUAAGCUUAGUUAGUAUAUGAUUAGAUAAUAAUUAUUAAAUAAAAUAAAAAUAUUACAGUAUCAAAAAAUUAAAAAAAAUCAGAUCUAGACAAGGCCUAAGGCCUAGGUCUCCUCCAACCUCCAGUUGGCGUGAGCGCGACCGACCUCAGUGUGGUGUGGGGGUGUCACCGGUGUCGCCGGUGCUGAUGAAUGCGUCCUGCUGCAGCCGGCGCACGCAACGCCCUGUUUACCCCACUUAAAAAAAAAUUUCAUCCAUCUCAUCAAAUCUUUAGACAUAUGCAUGGAACAUUAAAUGUAGAUAAAAAAUAAACUAAUUACACAGUUUAGUUAGAAAUCGCGAGACGAAUCUUUUAAACCUAGUUAGUCCAUGAUUAGCCUUAAGUGCUACAGUAAUCCACAUGUGCUAAUGAUAGAUUAAUUAUCCUUAAUAGAUUUGUCUUGCAGUUCUAGACGAGCUAUGUAAUUUGUUUUUUAUUAGUUUCUAAAAACCUCUCCUGACAUCUUUCCGACAUAUCCGAUGUGAUCACUGCUAUCAACUUGCUUACUGCCGGUGAUGGUGGUGGAGUUUCCGGGGGAGCCCCGGUGGCUCGCUGCGCUCUGCAAGUGCUACGGGCAAGGAGGCUAACUAAACACAUGCAGUUG
This 1262-nucleotide long non-coding RNA is filed under the name Sorghum bicolor (sorghum). RNAcentral describes it as "long non-coding RNA (SBIC_LNC013316)". The record is from RNAcentral. Lineage: Eukaryota; Viridiplantae; Streptophyta; Magnoliopsida; Poales; Poaceae.